This 514-nucleotide ribosomal RNA is filed under the name uncultured bacterium. RNAcentral's name for it is "bacterial SSU rRNA". It matches the Rfam family "Bacterial small subunit ribosomal RNA", at positions 8 to 518 of the family's 1533-position model. The record is from RNAcentral.
AGAGUUGAUCAUGGCUCAGGAUGAACGCUGGCGGCGUGCCUAACACAUGCAAGUCGAACGAAGCAUACGGACCGGAGAUUCGUCGAAGGACCGUAUGACUUAGUGGCGGACGGGUGAGUAAUGUAUGAGCAACCUGCCUUUCAGAGGGGGACAACAGUUGGAAACGACUGCUAAUACCGCGUAACGUAUCGUGGGGGCAUCCUUGUGAUACCAAAGGAGCAAUCCGCUGAAAGAUGGGCUCAUAUCUGAUUAGCUUGUUGGCGGGGUAACGGCCCACCAAGGCGACGAUCAGUAGCCGGACUGAGAGGUUGAACGGCCACAUUGGGACUGAGAUACGGCCCAGACUCCUACGGGAGGCAGCAGUGGGGAAUAUUGGGCAAUGGGCGAAAGCCUGAACCCCAGCAACGCCGCGUGGAGGAAGAAGGUCUUCGGAUUGUAAACUUCUUUUAUGAGGGACGAAGGACGUGACGGUACCUCAUGAAUAAGCCACGGCUAACUACGUGCCAGCAGCAGC